UACGUAGGGUGCAAGCGUUAAUCGGAAUUACUGGGCGUAAAGCGUGCGCAGGCGGCUUUGCAAGACAGAUGUGAAAUCCCCGGGCUCAACCUGGGAACUGCAUUUGUGACUGCAUGGCUGGAGUGCGGCAGAGGGGGAUGGAAUUCCGCGUGUAGCAGUGAAAUGCGUAGAGAUGUGGAGGAACACCGAUGGCGAAGGCAGCCCCCUGGGCUAACACUGACGCCUCAUGCACGAAAGCGUGGGGAGCAAACAGG
RNAcentral lists this ribosomal RNA (254 nucleotides) under uncultured bacterium. Its description in RNAcentral is "partial 16S ribosomal RNA". It matches the Rfam family "Bacterial small subunit ribosomal RNA", at positions 524 to 776 of the family's 1533-position model. The record is from RNAcentral.